AGGGCUGGAAAAGCCGGGACACAUCCAGCAGCGUCUCGAAACGUGCCACUUUUCUUCCCUCUUAAAUCAAAGGCGUUCGGGGGCACGUUCCCCGGGGCAGGGCCGGCGAGCGACCCCCCGAAAUUACGACGCUCUGUUUCUCAUCGGGAAAUUUCCCGAUGGGGGAUAAUGGCUGGAAAAUGCAGCGGAGCAGCGCCUCGCUUCCCUUUGCUCCGCUAGCUCGGCGUGCCUCGGGAGCGCACGCUGAAGGAGCCCUGGCUUUCCCUAGCACGGCUAGUCCUUGCUCCCGAAAUUUCUGAAUUAGAUGGCCAUAACGGGGCAGAAGCAGCUCUGAAGUGGACCUCUCGGUUAAUUCUUUAGCAAAGGCUGCGGAAAGCCAGGAGAGCCUCAAGAGGGGAGGGGAUAAUGCAUCCGUGACGUGUCCUCCCGCGCAGCGCCCUCCGAGGGACCCAAAUGCAGAGGAGCCAGAAAAGAGCCGCAAUUAGCACUUGCGAUGGGACGGGGGGCCGGGCCGGGGGGAGCCGGGGGCGGAGGCCCUUUGCUGUGGCAGCCCGAGCCCGCUCCCCCCGACCUCCGCGAGCGGCCGGCGGAGCCCCAGGACCCCCUUGCCCCGUACCCUGCCCUCGCUUGGUGCUUGGCCGUGACCCCGCAGCGCCGAGGGAGCCCCUCGAACCCUCCCCGGGUGUGUGUGGGACCCCCUUCCCAGACCCACGGCAGCUCCAUGAAGUCACCCCAAGCCCUUUCCCCCGUUCUUUUGGCUCUGGUUAAAACGUACCUGCUCACCCACA
Long non-coding RNA from Pipra filicauda (Wire-tailed manakin), 788 nucleotides. RefSeq lists it as uncharacterized. The transcript has 2 exons. NCBI's taxonomy places the organism in Eukaryota, Metazoa, Chordata, Aves, Passeriformes, Pipridae. The record is from RefSeq and is a predicted model, not a curated record.